RNAcentral lists this ribosomal RNA (358 nucleotides) under uncultured soil bacterium. RNAcentral's name for it is "bacterial SSU rRNA". It matches the Rfam family "Bacterial small subunit ribosomal RNA", at positions 26 to 411 of the family's 1533-position model. The record is from RNAcentral.
AGAGCGAACGCUGGCGGCAGGCCUAACACAUGCAAGUCGAACGGACCCUUCGGGGUUAGUGGCGGACGGGUGAGUAACACGUGGGAACGUGCCUUUAGGUUCGGAAUAGCUCCUGGAAACGGGUGGUAAUGCCGAAUGUGCCCUUCGGGGGAAAGAUUUAUCGCCUUUAGAGCGGCCCGCGUCUGGUUAGCUUGUUGGUGAGGUAAUGGCUCACCAAGGCUACGAUCAGUAGCUGGUCUGAGAGGAUGACCAGCCACAUUGGGACUGAGACACGGCUCAAACUCCUACGGGAGGCAGCAGUGGGGAAUCUUGCGCAAUGGGACGAAAGCCUGACGCAGCCAUGCCGCGUGUAUGAUAG